UUAAAAAGCUCGUAGUUGAACCUUGGGCCUGGCUGGCCGGUCCGCCUCACCGCGUGCACNGGUUCGGCCGGGCCUUUCCCUCUGGGGAACCUCAUGCCCUUCACUGGGUGUGAUGGGGAACCAGGACUUUUACUGUGAAAAAAUUAGAGUGUUCAAAGCAGGCCUAUGCUCCAAUACAUUAGCAUGGAAUAAUAGA
RNAcentral lists this ribosomal RNA (196 nucleotides) under uncultured Ascomycota. Its description in RNAcentral is "partial 18S ribosomal RNA". It matches the Rfam family "Eukaryotic small subunit ribosomal RNA", at positions 619 to 821 of the family's 1831-position model. The record is from RNAcentral. Lineage: Eukaryota; Fungi; Ascomycota.